AUUGAACGCUGGCGGCAUGCUUUACACAUGCAAGUCGAACGGCAGCGGGGUAGUGCUUGCACUACUGCCGGCGAGUGGCGAACGGGUGAGUAAUAUAUCGGAACGUACCGAGUAAUGGGGGAUAACCAAUCGAAAGAUUGGCUAAUACCGCAUACGUCCUGAGGGAGAAAGCGGGGGAUCGCAAGACCUCGCGUUAUUCGAGCGUCCGAUAACUGAUUAGCUAGUUGGUGGGGUAAAGGCCUACCAAGGCGACGAUCAGUAGCGGGUCUGAGAGGACGAUCCGCCACACUGGGACUGAGACACGGCCCAGACUCCUACGGGAGGCAGCAGUGGGGAAUUUUGGACAAUGGGGGCAACCCUGAUCCAGCCAUGCCGCGUGUAUGAAGAAGGCCUUCGGGUUGUAAAGUACUUUUGUUAGGGAAGAAAAGGGAAGUGCUAAUACCACUUUUUGCUGACGGUACCUAAAGAAUAAGCACCGGCUAACUACGUG
This 490-nucleotide ribosomal RNA is filed under the name uncultured bacterium. RNAcentral describes it as "partial 16S ribosomal RNA". It matches the Rfam family "Bacterial small subunit ribosomal RNA", at positions 30 to 507 of the family's 1533-position model. The record is from RNAcentral.